ACAAUGGGACAAGUGUGGGGUGUGGUUCGUUCCAUCUUGGAACUUUUUCACACUGAUGAUGAGGAGGAAGGAGAGUAUAACGAAGUAACAGAAGAGGUUACACAGCAGAUGGGUCUAGUAAUGGCAAAGCUUCUUAUUCUGGAUCAAAAGGUAAAGUUUUCCAGACGCCCUAUACUUCAGCUCAAAAAGCGGAGCUUGUAGCUGUAAUUGAGAAGGCCAGAUGUUAUCAGCAGCUGAACAGCAUCUACAGAAACCAGAUGCAAAGACAGAAGCAGAACAACUGAUUUGGUGGAGAGAUCCGGUAACAAAAAGUUGGGAAAUAGGUAAA
Molecule: long non-coding RNA, 328 nt
Organism: Gorilla gorilla gorilla (western lowland gorilla)
Lineage: Eukaryota; Metazoa; Chordata; Mammalia; Primates; Hominidae
Exons: 3
Source: RefSeq, a predicted model, not a curated record